Long non-coding RNA from Heterocephalus glaber (naked mole-rat), 620 nucleotides. The record is from Ensembl. NCBI's taxonomy places the organism in Eukaryota, Metazoa, Chordata, Mammalia, Rodentia, Bathyergidae.
GGAGGUCGACCACCCAUAAUUCAACUGGACAGGACGUGAUGAGUUUUGUGCUUUUAGAGUGUAGACCUCUAGAGGAUACUCUGACGUGACAUUGUCAUUUCCCAACCUCUCUCUCUUUUUUUUUUUUUGGAGACAAAGUCUUGCUAUGUAGCUCCGGCUGGCCUUGAACUCAUGGUGAUCCUCCUGCUUCAGCCUCCCGAGUGCUGGGACUACAGGUGUGCACCACAACACCCAGCCCUAGCUUCUCUUAUCUUCUACUUCUAACAUACCCAGAGGAAGAAAGAAGAUGCAGUGGUCAAGUGACUUGUCCAAGAUCACCCAGCUGGUCAGCAGAAUCCCUACAUCAUGAAUUAAGACCUUGGAGCCUAACCCCACAUCGCUGAAGUUUUACUCCAUGUUUCUGAGAACCUUAGAGUUUUGAAGACGUGCUCCAGUGGUUCUGCAAAUGUUUAUCUGACUUAUUUUUUUUUAAAGUUAGCAAUUCUUGUUUUGUUUUUUGAGACAGGGUCUCACUAUGUAGCUCAGGCUGACCUUGAACUCACUGUGCAGCCCAGGUUGGCCUUGAACUCAAAGGUGAUCCUCCUGCCUCAGUCUCUGGAAUGUUGGAAUUAUAGGCAUGC